RNAcentral lists this ribosomal RNA (301 nucleotides) under uncultured bacterium. Its description in RNAcentral is "partial 16S ribosomal RNA". It matches the Rfam family "Bacterial small subunit ribosomal RNA", at positions 509 to 807 of the family's 1533-position model. The record is from RNAcentral.
CAGUCGCCGCGGUAAUACAGAGGGUGCGAGCGUUAAUCGGAAUUACUGGGCGUAAAGCGCGCGUAGGCGGCUUUUUAAGUUGGAUGUGAAAUCCCCGAGCUUAACUUAGGAAUUGCAUCCGAUACUGGCAAGCUAGAGUAUGGGAGAGGGUGGUAGAAUUUCAGGUGUAGCGGUGAUAUGCGUAGAGAUCGGAAGGAACACCGAUGGCGAAGGCAGCCACCUGGCCUGAUACUGACGCUGAGGUACGAAAGCAUGGGGAGCAAACAGGAUUAGAUACCCCCGUAGUCCCUGUCUCUUAUAC